GACCUCCUCGUCGACGAGGUCAACCUCCCAUUCAAAUGCAGGUGCUCCCCCUCCGUGCCCUCUCUCUCCUCCCUGACCCUCGUGCUGGAUCGGGUGGCGGUUCGAGGCGAAGAUGGCGGAGCUUGGGCGAAUGGCGGAGGAGGCCGGCGACACGGACCAACGGAGGGGAAUGGAAAAAGGCGAGAGGUUUCUUGUGGCAGCGAAGGAGAGGACGACGACGGGGAGAGAUGAUCCAGGCGGCGGCCCUGCUCGACAAGAUCCUCGCGUUCGCGUCAAGGGAGCCGUGUGCUUCUUCUCGGGACACCGAUGCCACGUAGCUCGUCAAGCUCCUUCUCUGCUGCGGGAGGAUUGAUUGGGUUGGAUUGGUAUCUACUUGCUUUGUUCUCUAUUUGAGAACCUGAGAUGCAGCCCUCCAAAUCUUCGGCCCUAGGAUAUAAGGAGGUUUGGUUUUGCUUCUACUCUACAUUCACUGUUGUUACCAGCACUUUGCCACUCAUGGAAGCUUCUUCGUUUAUUUUUUAUGCAUGUGUGAUGUCUGUGAUAGGAGAGCAAGUUCCUCAAGUUCAUGAGGAAUCCCCUCUCAACUUGUUAGCACAGUGGUGAACUGGUGAUCCAUUAGGAGAAAACCUGGCCGAUAAUCUAAAGGGAGUUCAGGUAAAUGCUUUACUUUAGUUCCUGCACUUGAAUUUAACUGCUAUCUAACUUUACCUUGACAAUACCCAGCAACAAAUCAGUAUCUUAUGUUAUUAUCCAAGGAAUUUCUACAGCUUGGUGUUUUCUUGGAAUCGUGUUCCUGUCUGGCUACUAUUUGUUUGGUCAAUUUAGUCAUUGAUCUUCCAUUUCCCAAAAAUUAUUGGAAUGUUCAUAUCCUAUUGGCCUCAACACAACGAUGUUGAAUCUUAAAAUCGUUUGCCUACCAGGAUUUAUUUUGAAUAUUUAUUAAGAUGAUUCUGAAGCUAAUGGAUAAUGAGUAAAUACUCUAUUCUUGAAUAUUAUACGCAAAUCAACUUGGUUGUGCUCAUGUGGAUUAUUUAUUUCCAACAAUGCCAUCAAACCUUCAGAGGUACCGUCUAGCAAUCAUCUGUUUUUUUGUUGCAGGUUCCUCGCCGGUUUCCCUUUGCUGCACCUUUGUUUGGUUUCUCUAACGUGAGAGAACCUCUCUACGUUUGUAUGCUGAUUUGGGUUGGACUGGAUAUUCACAAAACUUUAUAUCAUAUACUUUGGGCAUCGCUAAAACAACUGAAUGUCAAAGCUACAUGAUUUUAAAAAACCUUUUUGACAAUAGCCACACCCAAAAAAUCAUAGUUAUAUGUGUGGUGUGAUGAUGGUCAUUCUUCAAUUUAAAAGUAAACAAGCAACCUCCAUUAAGGUCUACCGACAAUCAUGUAGGCAAUGCGUAGUCUUAAUGUAAGGAGGUGCCGAGAUACACGAGGGGUUGGAGUAGGACUGCGGGAGGAGAUGAGGACAUGUUUUGUUUUAGAUCUACCUGAUUAAUCCCAAGUUUUUGCAAGUACAAUAGCGUUCCCUUUUCUACGGGUUCCCUUUUCCCACACAUGGAUCCUGACCGUGGUGAGCUGACAAUCACUACUCGAGAUGGAACUACCGCUGUCACAUCCCGCUUUAUCAAGGGUGUUGACAAAAGGCCACCAUCACUACAGGCUGGAGCAACUUCUUCCGUGAGGCACACAUGAAAUAGGGCAAGCAUAUACUUUCGCCUUCAAAUGCACUUCCAAGGACUGCGCCUGAUCGUCUACUCAAUAUAAGCAAGUUGCAUAAGCCCCUUGUUAUACAACUUAAUGUACUCAACCUAUUGAUGCACAUGGACAUGAUGACUCUCUAGCGUUUAUGGACCAAACAACCUGUAAUCAUGGACCUUAUUGUCUUGUAGACCAUUUGGUGUUUCGAAUGUUUUGGAGCUUGCACUUUGUGCAUGUAGAUACAAACUUGUGUGUUCUGGACCAUCUGAAGUCUCUCAUAGUAACCAAUAGUCCUUAUCUUUUUGUGACUUGUGUGUUCUAGAUGAUUGUUAAGAUGGUCAAAACUAUGCUUUCUCUAGGUUAAUUUGUUUGUCAACCUGCGUUCAAUGUAUCUGCAUGUUUAUAAACAUAUUUUCAUUAUGGUGUAAUAUGUGUUUAUCUUGAA
This is a long non-coding RNA of Hordeum vulgare subsp. vulgare (domesticated barley), 2142 nucleotides long. RefSeq lists it as uncharacterized. The record is from RefSeq and is a predicted model, not a curated record. Lineage: Eukaryota; Viridiplantae; Streptophyta; Magnoliopsida; Poales; Poaceae. The transcript is spliced from 8 exons.